CGGAGGCAGCAGUGAGGAAUUUUGCGCAAUGGGCGAAAGCCUGACGCAGCAACGCCGCGUGGAGGAUGAAGUUUUUCGGAAUGUAAACUCCUGUCAAGAGGGAAGAAACGCCGAUUGGUCGGCCUGACGGUACCUCUUGAGGAAGCCACGGCUAACUUCGUGCCAGCAGCCGCGGUAAUACGAGGGUGGCAAGUGUUGUUCGGAUUUACUGGGUGUAAAGGGAGCGCAGGUGGUCUUAUAAGUCAGAGGUGAAAAGCCCAUGCUUAACAUGGGUCCUGCCUUUGAAACUGCAAGACUUGAGUGUCGGAGAGGGUAAUGGAAUUCCAGGUGUAGCGGUGGAAUGCGUAGAUAUCUGGAAGAACACCAGUUGCGAAGGCGGUUACCUGGCCGAACACUGACGCUCAUGCUCGAAAGCCGGGGGAGCAAACAGGAUUAGAUACCCUGGU
This 446-nucleotide ribosomal RNA is filed under the name uncultured bacterium. RNAcentral's name for it is "bacterial SSU rRNA". It matches the Rfam family "Bacterial small subunit ribosomal RNA", at positions 343 to 791 of the family's 1533-position model. The record is from RNAcentral.